GGAGAGAUAGCUCAGUUGUUAAAGCUCUUGCCUUUUAAGCAUGAAAACCUCAAUUUCAUUCCA
This 63-nucleotide transfer RNA is filed under the name Neotoma lepida (desert woodrat). It matches the Rfam family "tRNA". From Rfam's summary of the family: Transfer RNA (tRNA) molecules are approximately 80 nucleotides in length. Their secondary structure includes four short double-helical elements and three loops (D, anti-codon, and T loops). The record is from Rfam by way of RNAcentral. Lineage: Eukaryota; Metazoa; Chordata; Mammalia; Rodentia; Cricetidae.